GACGAACGCUGGCGGCGUGCUUAACACAUGCAAGUCGAACGGAAAGACCCUGCUUUUGUGGGGUGCUCGAGUGGCGAACGGGUGAGUAACACGUGAGUAACCUGCCCUUGACUUUGGGAUAACUUCAGGAAACUGGGGCUAAUACCGGAUAGGAGCUCCUGCUGCAUGGUGGGGGUUGGAAAGUUUCGGCGGUUGGGGAUGGACUCGCGGCUUAUCAGCUUGUUGGUGGGGUAGUGGCUUACCAAGGCUUUGACGGGUAGCCGGCCUGAGAGGGUGACCGGCUACAUUGGGACUGAGAUACGGCCCAGACUCCUACGGGAGGCAGCAGUGGGGAAUAUUGCACAAUGGGCGGAAGCCUGAUGCAGCAACGCCGCGUGCGGGAUGACGGCCUUCGGGUUGUAAACCGCUUUCGCCUGUGACGAAGCGUGAGUGACGGUAAUGGGUAAAGAAGCACCGGCUAACUACGUG
This 468-nucleotide ribosomal RNA is filed under the name uncultured bacterium. RNAcentral's name for it is "partial 16S ribosomal RNA". It matches the Rfam family "Bacterial small subunit ribosomal RNA", at positions 28 to 507 of the family's 1533-position model. The record is from RNAcentral.